UUGGAGGGCAAGUCUGGUGCCAGCAGCCGCAUAAAUCCAGCUUCCAUAGCGUAUAAUAAAGGUGGUGCCAGUAAAAAAGCUGGUAGUGAAAUUUCGGAUCAAAUAUUUCGGUCAUGCCGUUGGUAUGCACUGUUAUCAUUGAUUUCUCACCUUCUAAAGAACCGUGAUGCCAUUAAUUUGGUGUUACGGGGAAUUAGGACUGUUACCUUGAAAAAAUUAGAGUGUUUAAAGCAGGCUCACGCUUGAAUACAUUAACAUGGAAUAAUGAAAUAGGACAUCCGAUUCUAUUUUGUUGGUUUCUAGGAUCGAUGUAAUGAUUAAUAGAGAUAGUUGGGGGCAUUAGUAUUCAAUUGUCAGAGGUGAAAUUCUUGGAUUUAUUGAAGACUAACUACUGCGAAAGCAUUUGCCAAGGAUGUUUUCAUUAAUCAAGAACGAAAGUUAGGGGAUCGAAGACGAUCAGAUACCGUCGUAGUCUUAACCAUAAACUAUGCCGACUAGGGAUCGGAUGAUGUUAAUUUUUUAAUGACUCAUUCGGCGCCUUACGGGAAAC
Molecule: ribosomal RNA, 550 nt
Filed under: uncultured fungus
Lineage: Eukaryota; Fungi
Description: SSU rRNA
Rfam family: Eukaryotic small subunit ribosomal RNA
Source: RNAcentral